GGGGCUAUAGCUCAGUUGGUAGAGCGCGUCGUUCGCAAUGACGAGGUCAGGAGUUCAAUUCUCCUUAGCUCCA
RNAcentral lists this transfer RNA (73 nucleotides) under Ilumatobacter coccineus YM16-304. Its description in RNAcentral is "tRNA-Ala (CGC) (tRNA-Ala-CGC-1-1)". It matches the Rfam family "tRNA". Rfam says of the family: Transfer RNA (tRNA) molecules are approximately 80 nucleotides in length. Their secondary structure includes four short double-helical elements and three loops (D, anti-codon, and T loops). Further hydrogen bonds mediate the characteristic L-shaped molecular structure. tRNAs have two regions of fundamental functional importance: the anti-codon, which is responsible for specific mRNA codon recognition, and the 3' end, to which the tRNAs corresponding amino acid is attached (by aminoacyl-tRNA synthetases). tRNAs cope with the degeneracy of the genetic code in two manners: having more than one tRNA (with a specific anti-codon) for a particular amino acid; and 'wobble' base-pairing, i.e. permitting non-standard base-pairing at the 3rd anti-codon position. RNAcentral also lists the same sequence under 1 other name. The record is from Rfam by way of RNAcentral. Lineage: Bacteria; Bacillati; Actinomycetota; Acidimicrobiia; Acidimicrobiales; Ilumatobacteraceae.